GGUCCUUUGGGCGUGACUUUGAUUGCUUGGAUUACGAUCUGUUAUCCAAUCCAAACCGGUGUCAGCUCAGUGCCUCAUUGCCAACGGCAUGGCGUUUGUGUGUAUGUGCGCGAAGUUUUGUUUGCUGAAGUGCUGUGUAAAAGGCUUUUGCACUAUAAAGUUUGUCCACCAGCUGACCUGCAUCUACGCCAUGCUGUCAGUGUGCUGACAUGCAAGACAUGCAAAAAGAAGAAGGAAGAUGGAGAGGUGAAAAACUCACCCACCAUGAUAUUUCACUCAUCCAUCUAGCUAAUGCCUGAGACACCCUACGUGAGCAUGCUUCCGCAAAACUUCACAAAGCAGUACUACACCUGUGGAAAUGAAGAGGGCAACAGCAUAUGAACCAAGGUCCUUGAGCUUCUGCUGGGAAAGAUUCACCUGUGUAUUGCAAGUUACGGGUGGCAAGCUUUUUCCGGCGAUACGACAUUGAAGCUUGUGAAGGCAGUUAAUCCACAAUUGUGCUUUACAUGAUGUAAGAUGCAGCUGCAAAUAGUGGCACUUCGGAGAAACACAAAAAAAGACUCUGCAAGUGUAACUUGUGCAGGCAAGGAAGGACGUACAUUUGGCUCGAAGCACGCUACACACUACUCAAAGAACGCACUGUCCUUGAACUACAGUGUUACAACAUGUAAAGUUUUUCGAAGGGUAUGAAAGGGUAUGAUAUGAAAUAGUGUACCCUGAUGUCUGCCAGUACAUAUUUUUUUGUGCUAGAUCUAGAAAUAUACACCAAACGAAUUCUUUUCA
Molecule: long non-coding RNA, 783 nt
Organism: Ornithodoros turicata
Lineage: Eukaryota; Metazoa; Arthropoda; Arachnida; Ixodida; Argasidae
Exons: 4
Source: RefSeq, a predicted model, not a curated record